RNAcentral lists this ribosomal RNA (701 nucleotides) under Paraburkholderia sp. RNAcentral's name for it is "bacterial SSU rRNA". It matches the Rfam family "Bacterial small subunit ribosomal RNA", at positions 340 to 1032 of the family's 1533-position model. The record is from RNAcentral. Lineage: Bacteria; Pseudomonadati; Pseudomonadota; Betaproteobacteria; Burkholderiales; Burkholderiaceae.
UACGGGAGGCAGCAGUGGGGAAUUUUGGACAAUGGGCGCAAGCCUGAUCCAGCAAUGCCGCGUGUGUGAAGAAGGCCUUCGGGUUGUAAAGCACUUUUGUCCGGAAAGAAAACCUCUGCCCUAAUACGGCGGGGGGAUGACGGUACCGGAAGAAUAAGCACCGGCUAACUACGUGCCAGCAGCCGCGGUAAUACGUAGGGUGCAAGCGUUAAUCGGAAUUACUGGGCGUAAAGCGUGCGCAGGCGGUUCGUUAAGACAGAUGUGAAAUCCCCGGGCUUAACCUGGGAACUGCAUUUGUGACUGGCGGACUCGAGUAUGGCAGAGGGGGGUAGAAUUCCACGUGUAGCAGUGAAAUGCGUAGAGAUGUGGAGGAAUACCGAUGGCGAAGGCAGCCCCCUGGGCCAAUACUGACGCUCAUGCACGAAAGCGUGGGGAGCAAACAGGAUUAGAUACCCUGGUAGUCCACGCCCUAAACGAUGUCAACUGGUUGUCGGGUCUUCAUUGACUUGGUAACGUAGCUAACGCGUGAAGUUGACCGCCUGGGGAGUACGGUCGCAAGAUUAAAACUCAAAGGAAUUGACGGGGACCCGCACAAGCGGUGGAUGAUGUGGAUUAAUUCGAUGCAACGCGAAAAACCUUACCUACCCUUGACAUGUAUGGAAUCCUGCUGAGAGGUGGGAGUGCCCGAAAGGGAGCCAUAA